GGAAGUAAAAAUCGUAACAAGGUUUCCGUAGGUGAACCUGCGGAAGGAUCAUUAUUGUAUAACCGAGGUGCGAGGGCUGUCGCUGACCCGAAAGGUCGUGCACGCCCGAGUGCCCUCACACACAUCCAUCUCACCCCUAUGUGCACCACCGCGUGGGUCCCCCUUUGGCUUGUUCGGAGGGAGGCUUACGUUUUCACACAAACUUUGUAUGCAGUGUAGAAUGUAUUUUUUGUUUUUGCGAUCACGCAAUCAAUACAACUUUCAACAACGGAUCUCUUGGCUCUC
This 285-nucleotide unclassified non-coding RNA is filed under the name plant metagenome. RNAcentral describes it as "partial contains small subunit ribosomal RNA, internal transcribed spacer 1, and 5.8S ribosomal RNA". The stretch from base 1 to 54 matches the Rfam family "Eukaryotic small subunit ribosomal RNA", at positions 1778 to 1831 of the family's 1831-position model. The record is from RNAcentral.